This 992-nucleotide long non-coding RNA is filed under the name Volvox carteri. Its description in RNAcentral is "long non-coding RNA (VCAR_LNC000084)". Lineage: Eukaryota; Viridiplantae; Chlorophyta; Chlorophyceae; Chlamydomonadales; Volvocaceae. The record is from RNAcentral.
GGUCCCCCAUGUUCGCUUUUCGACACGGCGUCCCGCAUGGUGAGCUGGAAGCUGCACAGGCGGUUUCACGCGGCAGCGUAGGCAUUCCAUGCCGAGCAGUUGGCAUGGCCGCCAUCUUUCGCUCAUCGUUCGAUCGGUGUAGCUGCGAACCGGUCUUCAUGUUAGGAUUCAUUCCAUCUGCAAGCCCACGUAAGAAUUCAUCGAUGCGGAGUUUCUUUUGAGGAUUUCGACGCAAAAAAAGAAUCGACGCAGGACCCUGUGCGUGCUGUGCCAUCCUUCGCACGCUCCCACUGAUGUGUGGAACAGGGGGGUAUAUCUUCACCCGUGGCAGCUACCCUGCGAAACCCUGCCUUCUCCAGUAUUUUGGGACACCCUCAUCCAGUCACCCUAGUCAACUUCUCAGUGGAUCGCUCAGGUUCCGCACCCACCAUCAGCAUCCAACGGAAUCGGCCGGGUCGACAGCGGCCCAACUCCACUCCUGGUCGGCUCGCAGGUUAACUUUAUCCCAGGUCACCACCGACCAUCAAUUAGGGGGUAAUACCUUCCACCAUUGGAAGGAAUAUCGACCCUGACAGGUCUCAAUCCCGGGAUCUCCCGGGGGCAAUGGUCGCGCGUUACCAGUAAUGCGAAACCCUUGUAUGUAUCCUAGAUGACGUUGCCCAUGUGUGCUUAUCAGAUCUUUAUUCUCUAGGUGUUAAACGCCUUAUGGGCGAUUAAUCAUAUCACUCCGCCGACUGCAGAGCACUGUGGAGUACCAGAAGCUCCUUAGCAUCCUGUUUAUGAAAAAUAUGAAAUCCCUUCCUAAGCUUGUUUAUGCAGGCAAGGUUUUAACAGCUUUCCAUCGCGAAUUGAGCGCGUAACGCGAACAGGUAGUGUCGAGCAUAAUUCAAAGUCUCUAAGGUGCAUAUAGUGUCCAAAUGCUUUCCAUGUGCCGGAUGUUUGCUUGCGACAGACUCCAUUACUAAACUGGCCUUCCUCAUAUCCAGCUGCUC